Molecule: unclassified non-coding RNA, 367 nt
Filed under: Ficus trigona
Lineage: Eukaryota; Viridiplantae; Streptophyta; Magnoliopsida; Rosales; Moraceae
Description: partial contains external transcribed spacer and 18S ribosomal RNA
Source: RNAcentral
UGUUCCUGUGUUGCCUUCCCGUCGAAUGGAAAAUCUCGCGAGAUAGCCCCGCCCCUUUCCCCCUUGUGGCUUUGUGGCCGCAAAGUGGACCUCGAAAGCAGUGCCUGUGUCCCGGGCGUAUCCUCUGACUGUUGUCGUGGCUGUCUCGGUCCACAGGACGACUGCUCGUGCUCUCGGAUGUGGAAAAUUAAGCGGACAUGGGGGGUCUCGGCCCCUGGUUGCUCCCAAUCAAGUCCCUCGAUAGGAAUGACUUUCGAGAUACCUCAUUGAUCGCAGGCCGUCUAGGCCCGUGGCAUCGAUGCGGGUCCGAAGUCGAGAAAGGAUGCUACCUGGUUGAUCCUGCCAGUAGUCAUAUGCUUGUCUCAAA